This 230-nucleotide ribosomal RNA is filed under the name uncultured bacterium. RNAcentral's name for it is "partial 16S ribosomal RNA". It matches the Rfam family "Bacterial small subunit ribosomal RNA", at positions 562 to 791 of the family's 1533-position model. The record is from RNAcentral.
AAAGGGCGCGUAGGCGGCCAUUCAAGUCAGAGGUGAAAGCCUGGAGCUCAACUCCAGAAUUGCCUUUGAUACUGUUUGGCUCGAGACCGGAAGAGGUUAGUGGAACUGCGAGUGUAGAGGUGAAAUUCGUAGAUAUUCGCAAGAACACCAGUGGCGAAGGCGGCUAACUGGUCCGGUUCUGACGCUGAGGCGCGAAAGCGUGGGGAGCAAACAGGAUUAGAUACCCCAGU